Long non-coding RNA from Cucumis melo (muskmelon), 1363 nucleotides. RefSeq lists it as uncharacterized. The transcript is spliced from 9 exons. NCBI's taxonomy places the organism in Eukaryota, Viridiplantae, Streptophyta, Magnoliopsida, Cucurbitales, Cucurbitaceae. The record is from RefSeq and is a predicted model, not a curated record.
CCUGAUUUCCCCUACUCGUCGCCGUACCCCUCCCUUGAUUUUUCUCUUGCUCGUCGCUGCACCUUUCCCUUGAUUUUCCCUGCUCGCCAUAGGCUUUUGUACAACCCUUGCUGCCCCCAUCAUCGCAACCCUUCGCCAUUUCUUCUCUCAUAUGCUCCCCAAUUGCUUCUCUCCCCUGCUCCCUCAUUGUUCUCUUUGAUGCGUAACCCAUUUCUUUCAAUUUCUAUCGUUUAGUUUUGUGCGUAGUAUUUUUGGGGUAUUCGGCCUUCCAGCUACAAUCUGGGGAUUUUAACGUACCUAGUAUUUCUUCCAACUGCCAGUAUCAGACACUGAAUGACAAACUUCUGUUGGAACUACAGAGUAUAGGGUUGUAUCCUGAGACCUUGCCUGAUCUGACCGAGGGAGAAGAUCUGAUUAACCAAGAAAUUAUGGAGCACAAGAGAAGCUUGUACCAACAGAUUGAGAGAAAGAGGCGCAACCUGGAAAAGGUGGAGCAAUCUAUCAAGAGAGCAAAAGAUAUGAAAAAACGAUCAACUAGGCUAUGCUGUUUGAAUAUUAUGUGGCUGAGUUUUGUGUACUCGGGAAGUUUUGCGUUCACUGAAGUCAUCGUUGACUAGUAAUGAAGCACUUCAGUAUGCUGAAUAUUCGCCAACGCGCGUGAACUCGCCGCCGUGCUAUCAUCGGAGGCAGCUUCUUCCGUUGCCGCAUUGCGCUCAUGCCUCACGUGGAACACUCACCCUCCUCACCACCGGCAUGUUACCGGCUCGGGAUGUCCGUUGUUGAGCGAUUUCGGUUGCAAUAUCCCGACAUCGGAGGCUCAUCCAGCAAGUCAGUUUUUAGCGGAAUGGUUCGAGGCAUGUGGGGGGUCGCCCGGGAAUGGGCUUAGGCUUUGUUCGCACGUGGGGUGUGGACGACCCGAGACGAGACGACAUGAGUUCCGUCGGUGUUCCGUUUGUGGUGCCGUUAUUUCGGCAUUUCGGCAUUGAAAGAUUAUCUCUGAUUAUCUUUCUUUUCCGUUUCUAUAAGGUUCUGGAGGAUAUUCGUAUUUGUAUGAACCUAUGUGGUAGGCCGGGAUGAUAAGUAGAAAUUGAUGGUUCAAGUUCAAGCUUCAGUCAGCUGUUUUGAAUUGAAGGGAGUUAUCACUAAACAAAUGACUGCAAUAGAAAAAAUGGUUGCAAGUGAGUACAAUUAGCCAGACCCUCAUCUUUGUGACAAGAUCUUGAAGUUGGUCAUUUGUGAAGCGUUCUAGUUUGCUAUUAGUUGCAGUUUUAGUUAUUGCUCUCUCAAUAUAUUCUUUUUCUUUCUUUCUUUCUUUUUUUUCCAUAGGAUGAUCAGUGUAAUAAUUAAGCUUCAUAAUUUCUGU